GUCGAGAAUCUUUCACAAUGGGGGCAACCCUGAUGGAGCGACGCCGCGUGGAGGAUAAGGUCUUCGGAUUGUAAACUCCUGUCAUGCGUGAACAAGGUUGCUUGGUUAAUACCUGGGCAAAUUGAUGGUAACGCAAGAGGAAGAGACGGCUAACUCUGUGCCAGCAGCCGCGGUAAUACAGGGGUCUCAAGCGUUGUUCGGAAUCACUGGGCGUAAAGGGUGCGUAGGUGGCGUGGUAAGUCAGAUGUGAAAGCCCGGGGCUCAACCUCGGAACUGCAUCCGAUACUGCCAGGCUAGAGUACUGGAGAGGUGACUAGAAUUCUCGGUGUAGCAGUGAAAUGCGUAGAUAUCGAGAGGAAUACCAAAGGCGUAGGCAGGUCACUGGACAGUUACUGACACUGAGGCACGAAGGCCAGGGGAGCGAACGGGAUUAGAUACCCGAGUAGUCC
RNAcentral lists this ribosomal RNA (449 nucleotides) under uncultured bacterium. Its description in RNAcentral is "bacterial SSU rRNA". It matches the Rfam family "Bacterial small subunit ribosomal RNA", at positions 354 to 796 of the family's 1533-position model. The record is from RNAcentral.